GCUGCCACUGUGUGCAAACAGGCUUUGUCGACAGACUCGCAGUCUCCAUCACCCAGCAGGAGCAUAGACCUAAAAGAAAUGGACAAACAGACUCCGUCGUUCUCAAUGAGAGGGGGCUGAAACAAAAAAUCGUUUCCUGUUCAUCGUACUGCGCAGACUCAAACUCAUUUUGUGACGUUGGCCGCCCUGAACAUUGCUGUAACUCGUCUGAUAGAUGUUCAUACAGAUAUUUUGCCAUUCGACCUCGACUGACUGCGAUUUCUUGGAUCUUAGUUUACCAGUCAGACCACUACACCUUUGCCAGCACCACCACCCAGCAAGCUUCAUCAACUCCAGCCAUGCCGAGUUUACCAGUCAGACCUACACCUCCGUCAAAUUCGCUCACAGCGCUGCCAAUAACACCCCAGCAAGAUUUUUACAGACUUGUUCUGCAGCACUUCCGAACAAUUGAGGAGGAGCUGGGGUAAAGCAGCAGGUGGCUGUGAACACAUCUAUGCUGCAGAAGCUAGGUGGUGGUGGUGUGGCGGACCUUGGCCUCGUGGAGGACAACAACAGGCCAUUGAGUAAUGCUGAGGACCUGGACGAGUUGGAGAGGCGGCUUGCAUUCGAUGCGGACCUGAAAAAUCAACUGGUGAACAUACUUGGGAGGGAAAACCACCGAGAUGCUGUUAAGAGGAUGCUGGGCCGGGCUUUGAGGAGGUCCCUGGCGCUCCAAAUUAAUUAGACUGGUGCAGCAGGAAAGGUGGCUUUUAAGUCCUUACACCUGAAGAGUGUGUUGCAUAUUAAUAUCAUUAUUAAAAAUAAUUUUAAUAAAUUGUUUAAGCAUGUAGAAGAAAUAAAGCAUGUA
Molecule: long non-coding RNA, 847 nt
Organism: Sardina pilchardus (European sardine)
Lineage: Eukaryota; Metazoa; Chordata; Actinopteri; Clupeiformes; Clupeidae
Exons: 5
Source: RefSeq, a predicted model, not a curated record